ACACGACUACAUUAGAUACCCCCGUAGUCCCAGCCCUAAACGAUGCGCGUUAGGUGUAUCGGUGACCACGAGUCACCGAGGUGCCGAAGGGAAACCGUGAAACGUGCCGCCUGGGAAGUACGGUCGCAAGGCUGAAACUUAAAGGAAUUGCGGGGGAGCACCACAACGGGUGGAGCCUGCGGUUUAAUUGGACUCAACGCCGGGAAGCUCACCGGAUAAGACAGCGGAAUGAUUGCCGGGCUGAAGACCCUGCAUGACCAGCUG
This 264-nucleotide ribosomal RNA is filed under the name uncultured archaeon. RNAcentral's name for it is "partial 16S ribosomal RNA". It matches the Rfam family "Archaeal small subunit ribosomal RNA", at positions 717 to 982 of the family's 1478-position model. The record is from RNAcentral.